AUGCUCCCAGCAAGCUACUUGGUAAAGCAACUUAAAUGGGGAAAAAAUAUGUAUGGCUUACAUGUGUUCACAGAGUCGGGUAAAGCCAUUUUCAAUUCCACGUCUGACUCAUCCCCAAGUUGGCUGUCUGAUGGUGAUGAAUUUUUCAGCCCCAGGAUGGUCUCAAAUGAUCAUCUAGUAAGCUUCAGGAGUGGGGGAGGGCAGCCUGAUAGAGUUCGAAGGCAUACUCACAUAAAAAUAGAACAGUUAUCAUGUCAGUGUACACUUUCACAAAAUGAGAUGUCUUGCAGAUGGCUGAGCAAAUGUCUCAGCUGUGAUAAUAGGGUGAGACUCGUAAGCCCACAUCGAGCAAGGGCAUUGUGCUAAUCUAGAUCAUCCUUGAAAAGUAUUUCUGAAAUAUUUCUUCACAUCCUGUUUGCUCAGUACUAUAAGGAAAAAUGUUACACUGAAAUAAACCCUAUUUACUAGAAGAUUAAAAACUGAAG
Molecule: long non-coding RNA, 485 nt
Filed under: Monodelphis domestica (gray short-tailed opossum)
Lineage: Eukaryota; Metazoa; Chordata; Mammalia; Didelphimorphia; Didelphidae
Description: lncRNA (ENSMODG00000051578.1)
Source: RNAcentral